AGGGUGUAAAACGCUGCAGACUUGGUGUUGGAAGUCCUUUGGGGGCAUUCAGUGCCGGAGAGAAGUUGUUAAGUCUGCUACUUGGGGAGUACGUCCGCAAGGAUGAAACUUAAAGGAAUUGGCGGGGGAGCACCGCAACGGGAGGAGCGUGCGGUUUAAUUGGAUUCAACACCGUAAAACUCACCAGGGAAGACUGUUACAUGAAGGCCGAGAUGAAGACUCUGCUAGAUUUUCAGAGAGGAGGUGCAUGGCGUCAGUGACU
Molecule: ribosomal RNA, 262 nt
Filed under: uncultured archaeon
Lineage: Archaea
Description: partial 16S ribosomal RNA
Rfam family: Archaeal small subunit ribosomal RNA
Source: RNAcentral